UACGAAGGGGGCGAGCGUUGUUCGGAUUUACUGGGCGUAAAGGGCGCGCAGGCGGCUCAUUUUGUCAGGCGUGAAAGCCCCGGGCUUAACCUGGGAACUGCGUUUGAUACGGGUGGGCUAGAGUUCGGGAGAGGAGAGUGGAAUUCCCAGUGUAGAGGUGAAAUUCGUAGAUAUUGGGAAGAACACCGGUGGCGAAGGCGGCUCUCUGGACCGAUACUGACGCUGAGGCGCGAAAGCGUGGGGAGCAAACAGG
Molecule: ribosomal RNA, 253 nt
Filed under: uncultured bacterium
Lineage: Bacteria
Description: partial 16S ribosomal RNA
Rfam family: Bacterial small subunit ribosomal RNA
Source: RNAcentral